This is a long non-coding RNA of Hypanus sabinus (Atlantic stingray), 813 nucleotides long. RefSeq lists it as uncharacterized. The transcript has 2 exons. The record is from RefSeq and is a predicted model, not a curated record. Lineage: Eukaryota; Metazoa; Chordata; Chondrichthyes; Myliobatiformes; Dasyatidae.
CUGGGUUAGGAAGGUGUCUGCAUGGAGCCGCAGGAGCUGCUCUAGAGCCUGAGUGCUUUUGCUAAGCGCCGCUGCUGAGUUCUGGUUAGAUAGAGUGGCGGCGGGCAGCGACUGUCAAUCAGGUGGCUUAUUUACAUAUCAUCACCCGCCCCCCUCCGGCCCUGCCAGCUCCGGGUUGCUUCAGUCAACCAGCGGCCGCAGGCUCUCAGCUCUCAGCCAGGGACCACUCUCCGCAGCCCCUCUUUCUCUUAGUUCCUCCUUUCCGUUUUCAUUUGGUUUCAGCAUCGCGGUGCUUCAUCUGAAACGGUUAAAUGCCGCUGCGAAUUUUCUCUUUCCCUUUCCUUCGCCGCCUGCCUUGCUCUGUACACCGCAUUAUCUCCCCCCCCCCCCCACACACACACACCUCUCAGUUCUUGCCCUUUCUCUUUUAAUUGCCUCUCGUUCCCUUCUCUCUGCCCUUUCUUCCCUCAGUCUGAGCGAUUCUGUUUUGCAGGGCUGCAGUUUCCCGCUGCCGCACACUGCCGUUCUUCCUGGGAGCCCCUUUUGAAACAUCCUUUAGAACGAUGCAAUGCACCGGGGAAGUGUGCAAACAAUAACCGACGCCGAUGCUACUCCUAAAAGAGUCUUAACUCCACUGAAUGCCUCAAAGUGAGAAACAUUGGGAGUGCACUAUCCAACACAACUUAAUGCUCGCCAUUUCUAAAUAAAUCUGACACAAUUGCAGAUUUCUCGUCAAACCUCUUCGACUGGCUAUUUCUAUCAUGGUCUAGAUUUGAUUCCACAUACAUUUAAAAUAAAUGAAUAAUGAACAAA